Molecule: transfer RNA, 57 nt
Filed under: Mucilaginibacter pineti
Lineage: Bacteria; Pseudomonadati; Bacteroidota; Sphingobacteriia; Sphingobacteriales; Sphingobacteriaceae
Rfam family: tRNA
About the family: Transfer RNA (tRNA) molecules are approximately 80 nucleotides in length. Their secondary structure includes four short double-helical elements and three loops (D, anti-codon, and T loops).
Source: Rfam by way of RNAcentral
UGGCCGAGUGGUUAGGUGAUGGUCUGCAAAACCUUUUUAAGGCGGUUCGAAUCCGCC